UACAGAGGUCCCAAGCGUUACUGAGAAUCACUGGGUUUAAAGGGUGCGUAGGUGGCGCGUUAAGUCCGUUGUGAAAUCCCUGGGCUCAACCCAGGAACUGCUUCGGAUACUGGCGUGCUUGAGGCCGGUAGGGGUCACUGGAACAGACGGUGGAGCGGUGAAAUGCGUAGAUAUCGUCUGGAACGCCGGUGGUGAAGACGGGUGACUGGGCCGGUUCUGACACUGAGGCACGAAAGCGUGGGGAGCGAACGGG
Molecule: ribosomal RNA, 253 nt
Filed under: uncultured prokaryote
Description: partial 16S ribosomal RNA
Rfam family: Bacterial small subunit ribosomal RNA
Source: RNAcentral